This 394-nucleotide ribosomal RNA is filed under the name uncultured bacterium. RNAcentral's name for it is "partial 16S ribosomal RNA". It matches the Rfam family "Bacterial small subunit ribosomal RNA", at positions 338 to 729 of the family's 1533-position model. The record is from RNAcentral.
CCUACGGGUGGCUGCAGUGAGGAAUAUUGGUCAAUGGACGCAAGUCUGAACCAGCCAUGCCGCGUGCAGGAAGACGGCUCUAUGAGUUGUAAACUGCUUUUGUACGAGGGUAAACGCAAAUGCGCGUAUCUGUCUGAAAGUAUCUUACGAAUAAGGAACGGCUAACUCCGUGCCAGCAGCCGCGGUAAUACGGAGGAUACAAGCGUUAUCCGGAUUUAUUGGGUGUAAGGGGUGCGUAGGCGGUCGGAUAAGUUAGAGGUGAAAUCCCGAGGCUCAACUUCGGAAUUGCAUCUGAUACUGGUCGGCUAGAGAGUAGUUGCGGUAGGCAGAAUGUAUGGUGUAGCGGUGAAAUGCUUAGAGAUCAUACAGAACACCGAUUGCGAAGGCAGCUUAC